This 467-nucleotide ribosomal RNA is filed under the name uncultured bacterium. RNAcentral's name for it is "partial 16S ribosomal RNA". It matches the Rfam family "Bacterial small subunit ribosomal RNA", at positions 28 to 507 of the family's 1533-position model. The record is from RNAcentral.
GACGAACGCUGGCGGCGUGCUUAACACAUGCAAGUCGAACGGAAAGGCCUCUUUCGGGGGGUACUCGAGUGGCGAACGGGUGAGUAACACGUGAGUAACCUGCCCUUGACUUUGGGAUAACUUCAGGAAACUGGGGCUAAUACCGGAUAGGAGCUCCUGCUGCAUGGUGUGGGUUGGAAAGUUUCGGCGGUUGGGGGUGGACUCGCGGCUUAUCAGCUUGUUGGUGGGGUAGUGGCUUACCAAGGCUUUGACGGGUAGCCGGCCUGAGAGGGUGACCGGCCAAAUUGGGACUGGGAUACGGCCCAGAAUCCUACGGGAGGGAGGAGGGGGGAAUAUUGCACAAUGGGUGGGAGCCUGAUGGAGCAACGCCGUGGGCGGGAUGACGGGCUUCGGGUUGUAAACCGCUUUCGCUCAUGACGAAGCUUUGUGUGACGGUAGUGGGUAAAGAAGCACCGGCUAACUACGUG